UGGGGAAUAUUGCACAAUGGGGGAAACCCUGAUGCAGCGACGCCGCGUGAACGAAGAAGGUAUUCGUAUCUUAAAGUUCUGUCCUAUGGGAAGAUAAUGACAGUACCAUAGAAGAAAGCUCCGGCUAAAUACGUGCCAGCAGCCGCGGUAAUACGUAUGGAGCGAGCGUUGUCCGGAAUUAUUGGGCGUAAAGGGUACGCAGGCGGUUUACUAAGUCGAAUGUUAAAGAUCGGGGCUCAACCCCGCAAAGCAUUGGAAACUGAUAAACUUGAGUAGUGGAGAGGAAAGUGGAAUUCCUAGUGUAGUGGUGAAAUGCGUAGAGAUCUGGAGGAAUACCGGUGGCGAAGGCGGCCCCCUGGACGAAGACUGACGCUCAGGUGCGAAAGCGUGGGGAGCAAACAGG
This 403-nucleotide ribosomal RNA is filed under the name Chloroflexota bacterium. RNAcentral describes it as "Chloroflexi bacterium partial 16S ribosomal RNA". It matches the Rfam family "Bacterial small subunit ribosomal RNA", at positions 355 to 776 of the family's 1533-position model. The record is from RNAcentral. Lineage: Bacteria; Bacillati; Chloroflexota.